This 457-nucleotide ribosomal RNA is filed under the name Bacillus subtilis. RNAcentral describes it as "bacterial SSU rRNA". It matches the Rfam family "Bacterial small subunit ribosomal RNA", at positions 68 to 506 of the family's 1533-position model. Lineage: Bacteria; Bacillati; Bacillota; Bacilli; Caryophanales; Bacillaceae. The record is from RNAcentral.
GGGAUUAAGAAGCUUGCUCUUAUGAAGUUAGCGGCGGACGGCGUGAGUAACACGUGGGUAACCUGCCCAUAAGACUGGGAUAACUCCGGGAAACCGGGGCUAAUACCGGAUAACAUUUUGAACCGCAUGGUUCGAAAUUGAAAGGCGGCUUCGGCUGUCACUUAUGGAUGGACCCGCGUCGCAUUAGCUAGUUGGUGAGGUAACGGCUCACCAAGGCAACGAUGCGUAGCCGACCUGAGAGGGUGAUCGGCCACACUGGGACUGAGACACGGCCCAGACUCCUACGGGAGGCAGCAGUAGGGAAUCUUCCGCAAUGGACGAAAGUCUGACGGAGCAACGCCGGGUGAGUGAUGAAGGCUUUCGGGUCGUAAAACUCUGUUGUUAGGGAAGAACAAGUGCUAGUUGAAUAAGCUGGCACCUUGACGGUACCUAACCAGAAAGCCACGGCUAACUACGU